UACGAAGGGGGCUAGCGUUGCUCGGAAUCACUGGGCGUAAAGCGCACGUAGGCGGAUUGUUAAGUCGGAGGUGAAAUCCUGGAGCUCAACUCCAGAACUGCCUUCGAUACUGGCGAUCUUGAGUCCGGAAGAGGUGAGUGGAACUCCUAGUGUAGAGGUGGAAUUCGUAGAUAUUAGGAAGAACACCAGUGGCGAAGGCGGCUCACUGGUCCGGUACUGACGCUGAGGUGACGAAAGGCGUGGGGAGCAAACAGG
This 255-nucleotide ribosomal RNA is filed under the name uncultured bacterium. RNAcentral's name for it is "partial 16S ribosomal RNA". It matches the Rfam family "Bacterial small subunit ribosomal RNA", at positions 524 to 776 of the family's 1533-position model. The record is from RNAcentral.